AGAGUUUGAUCCUGGCUCAGAUUGAACGCUGGCGGCAUGCCUAACACAUGCAAGUCGAACGGCAGCACAGUAGAGCUUGCUCUAUGGGUGGCGAGUGGCGGACGGGUGAGUAAUGCAUCGGGAUCUACCCAAACGUGGGGGAUAACGUAGGGAAACUUACGCUAAUACCGCAUACGUCCUACGGGAGAAAGCGGGGGACCGAAAGGCCUCGCGCGGUUGGACGAACCGAUGUGCGAUUAGCUAGUUGGUAGGGUAAUGGCCUACCAAGGCGACGAUCGCUAGCUGGUCUGAGAGGAUGAUCAGCCACACUGGAACUGAGACACGGUCCAGACUCCUACGGGAGGCAGCAGUGGGGAAUAUUGGACAAUGGGCGCAAGCCUGAUCCAGCAAUGCCGCGUGUGUGAAGAAGGCCUUCGGGUUGUAAAGCACUUUUAUCAGGAGCGAAAUACUACUGGCUAAUAACCGGUGGGGCUGACGGUACCUGAGGAAUAAGCACCGGCUAACUUCGUGCCAGCAGCCGCGGUAAU
RNAcentral lists this ribosomal RNA (527 nucleotides) under soil bacterium RFS-I36. Its description in RNAcentral is "bacterial SSU rRNA". It matches the Rfam family "Bacterial small subunit ribosomal RNA", at positions 8 to 524 of the family's 1533-position model. The record is from RNAcentral.